RNAcentral lists this ribosomal RNA (557 nucleotides) under uncultured Methylobacterium sp. RNAcentral's name for it is "bacterial SSU rRNA". It matches the Rfam family "Bacterial small subunit ribosomal RNA", at positions 102 to 694 of the family's 1533-position model. The record is from RNAcentral. Lineage: Bacteria; Pseudomonadati; Pseudomonadota; Alphaproteobacteria; Hyphomicrobiales; Methylobacteriaceae.
ACGGGUGAGUAACGCGUGGGAACGUGCCUUCCGGUUCGGAAUAACCCUGGGAAACUAGGGCUAAUACCGGAUACGCCCUUAUGGGGAAAGGUUUACUGCCGGAAGAUCGGCCCGCGUCUGAUUAGCUAGUUGGUGGGGUAACGGCCUACCAAGGCGACGAUCAGUAGCUGGUCUGAGAGGAUGAUCAGCCACACUGGGACUGAGACACGGCCCAGACUCCUACGGGAGGCAGCAGUGGGGAAUAUUGGACAAUGGGCGCAAGCCUGAUCCAGCCAUGCCGCGUGAGUGAUGAAGGCCUUAGGGUUGUAAAGCUCUUUUAUCCGGGACGAUAAUGACGGUACCGGAGGAAUAAGCCCCGGCUAACUUCGUGCCAGCAGCCGCGGUAAUACGAAGGGGGCUAGCGUUGCUCGGAAUCACUGGGCGUAAAGGGCGCGUAGGCGGCGUUUUAAGUCGGGGGUGAAAGCCUGUGGCUCAACCACAGAAUGGCCUUCGAUACUGGGACGCUCGAGUAUGGUAGAGGUUGGUGGAACUGCGAGUGUAGAGGUGAAAUUCGUAGA